CAAUUCCAAGUGAUGUUUGGAGACGAAUGGUGCAUGUCAGGUUUUUGUUAGCCAUAGUUUUAACCAAUUUAUUGUUGUUACUAUUGAUGCCUCAGUUAAAAGUGAUGUUUGGAGAUGAAUUGUACUGGCCAUGUUUCUGUUAACACAAGUUUUAACCAAAUUACUUUAACAGUCUUAUAUGCAAAUAUUUCAAGUUGUUACUACUGAUGCCUCAGUUACAAGUGAUGUUUGGAGACGAAUUGUACCGGCCAGGUUUCUGUUUACCCAAGUUUUAACCAAAUUAUUCAUGCAGUGUUUCUGCUACUACAUUUUUCAUGGCCUUAGCCCCCCUACUUCGUUACACCAGCUCACACAUCAAACUAAUACACAUCAGAGGGAAUAACAAAAUGUAUAGCUUGGGGUGGAGAAGGACUGAAGGAGCGACAUGCUUGAUUGAGUGGUCAUAAGUUUGAACCCCAACAAGUGUAAGAAUCCCAACAAGAUCGAGUAAACUGUGCAGUUAAGGUUGAUAGGUGGUUGGGGCGGAGGAGGCCGGGUUAGUUGGGUGGAGACGUGAAGGGCCAAGUCCAGCGUAUUGUCUUUCAAAAUGUGGAGGUCCGGGUAGCUGGAGCAGAAAAUGAAGCUGAAGCAUGCAGCAAAAGUUGCACGCACGUUCAGUUGCAUCUUCUUCUUCACUUACCAAGGCAUAUAAGCAACAUAUAAACUUAUACAGUUCUACAACCAAUUAUGACAUACAGUUCUGCAUAUUGAUUCAGAAAUGGGUGGCAGAAACCGAGACUACCAUACACAUCCAUUGGCCAUUGCGUGACCGUUGCAUCCAGUAAUUAUAUGAGGAAGGCUGGUGAGACUCAUGGAACCGUUUGAAGUUCACAUAUCUAUUGGUGAUGGUCCAGUUAGUGGAGUUCCAUGGUGGUGCGACUUGAGUUAUGAUUAUGUGAAGAUAAACGCGGAGUACACAACAUGAAUGUAAAUCUACGAUGGAGGUGGAGGUUCUCCAUCAUGACUGGUGCUUGGUGCUCCGUCCUAGCAAUCCAUACAAAAAUUGCAAUUGUCAUUUGUGCACGUACACUAGCUUAGGUCUCAAAUCGGAUCAUCUGAAGGCCUUACCACAUCUGAUCUUCUAUAUUCGUGUUGUUCAUGGUUAUGUCCCUGGGAUUUAUGUGGGAAAUAAUCAGGGUGAAGUACAAUAUCAGACCACUCUCAGUGUUGCAUGCAUUACCUGUCAUUAGGAUUAAAAUAAGAAUCAAGAAUAUUGACACUAAUAAGAUUGAAAA
Molecule: long non-coding RNA, 1274 nt
Organism: Ipomoea triloba (trilobed morning glory)
Lineage: Eukaryota; Viridiplantae; Streptophyta; Magnoliopsida; Solanales; Convolvulaceae
Exons: 9
Source: RefSeq, a predicted model, not a curated record